Molecule: unclassified non-coding RNA, 224 nt
Filed under: Hevea brasiliensis (rubber tree)
Lineage: Eukaryota; Viridiplantae; Streptophyta; Magnoliopsida; Malpighiales; Euphorbiaceae
Source: RNAcentral
CUUCUGCAAAAUCAUUGCAAUUCCUUCUCACAAUGCUAAAACCCUACUUCCUGCCGUACACUCACUUUCUUCUUUCUGUUUUGGUAUUCGUCAAUAGCUUAGCUUGAUCGUUUUGUUAUUUUCUCUAAAUCUUUUGUGUGUGUAGUUUACUUACACUAUGCCUGUGCCUAUGAUGGUGUUAAAUAUACUCUGAUAUUUAAAUAUAUAUGAAAAGAAUUUUCAUC